This 1388-nucleotide ribosomal RNA is filed under the name uncultured bacterium. Its description in RNAcentral is "bacterial SSU rRNA". It matches the Rfam family "Bacterial small subunit ribosomal RNA". The record is from RNAcentral.
GUCGAACGGAGUUUGGUUGACUGAAGUCUUCGGAUGGAAGGAGACCAGACUUAGUGGCGAACGGGUGAGUAACACGUGAGCAAUCUGCCUUCGAGUGGGGGACAACAGUUGGAAACGACUGCUAAUACCGCAUAAGACCACGGCCCCGCAUGGGGCUGCGGUCAAAGGAUUUAUUCGCUUGAAGAUGAACUCGCGUCCGAUUAGAUAGUUGGUGAGGUAACGGCCCACCAAGUCAACGAUCGGUAGCCGGACUGAGAGGUUGAACGGCCACAUUGGGACUGAGACACGGCCCAGACUCCUACGGGAGGCAGCAGUGGGGGAUAUUGCACAAUGGGGGAAACCCUGAUGCAGCGACGCCGCGUGAGCGAAGAAGAUCUUCGGAUUGUAAAGCUCUGUCUUAGGGGACGAUAAUGACGGUACCCUGAGAGGAAGCCACGGCUAACUACGUGCCAGCAGCCGCGGUAAUACGUAGGUGGCAAGCGUUGUCCGGAAUUACUGGGUGUAAAGGGAGCGCAGGCGGGCAGACAAGUUGGAAGUGAAAAUCAUGGGCUCAACUCAUGACCUGCUUUCAAAACUGUAUGUCUUGAGUGGUGCAGAGGUAGGCGGAAUUCCCGGUGUAGCGGUGGAAUGCGUAGAUAUCGGGAGGAACACCAGUGGCGAAGGCGGCCUACUGGGCACUAACUGACGCUGAGGCUCGAAAGUAUGGGUAGCAAACAGGAUUAGAUACCCUGGUAGUCCAUACCGUAAACGAUGAUUACUAGGUGUGAGGCGUUACACACGCUUCGUGCCGCAGUUAACACAAUAAGUAAUCCACCUGGGGAGUACGACCGCAAGGUUGAAACUCAAAGGAAUUGACGGGGGCCCGCACAAGCAGUGGAGUAUGUGGUUUAAUUCGACGCAACGCGAAGAACCUUACCAGGUCUUGACAUCCGAUGACAGCUCAAGAGAUUGAGUGUUCCUUCGGGACAUCGAGACAGGUGGUGCAUGGUUGUCGUCAGCUCGUGUCGUGAGAUGUUGGGUUAAGUCCCGCAACGAGCGCAACCCUUAUCGUCAGUUACUACGCAAGAGGACUCUGGCGAGACUGCCGUUGACAAAACGGAGGAAGGUGGGGAUGACGUCAAAUCAUCGUGCCCUUUAUGACCUGGGCUACACACGUACUACAAUGGCGCUUAACAGAGAGCAGCAAAGCCGCGAGGCCAAGCGAACCUCAAAAACAGCGUCUCAGUUCGGACUGCAGGCUGCAACUCGCCUGCACGAAGCCGGAAUUGCUAGUAAUCGCGGAUCAGAAUGCCGCGGUGAAUACGUUCCCGGGCCUUGUACACACCGCCCGUCACACCAUGAGAGCCGGGGGGACCCGAAGUCAGUCGUCUAACCGCAAGGGGGACGCU